AUUGAACGCUGGCGGAAUGCUUUACACAUGCAAGUCGAACGGCAGCACGGACUUCGGUCUGGUGGCGAGUGGCGAACGGGUGAGUAAUGUAUCGGAACGUGCCCAGUCGUGGGGGAUAACGUAGUGAAAAUUACGCUAAUACCGCAUACGAUCUAUGGAUGAAAGCGGGGGAUCGCAAGACCUCGCGCGAUUGGAGCGGCCGAUAUCAGAUUAGGUAGUUGGUGGGGUAAAGGCCCACCAAGCCAACGAUCUGUAGCAGGUCUGAGAGGACGACCAGCCACACUGGAACGGAGACACGGUCCAGACUCCUACGGGAGGCAGCAGUGGGGAAUUUUGGACAAUGGGCGAAAGCCUGAUUCAGCCAUUCCGCGUGCAGGAUGAAGGCCCUCGGGUUGUAAACUGCUUUUGUACAGAACGAAAGGGUUUCUACUAAUACUAGGAGCUCAUGACGGUACUGUAUGAAUAAGCACCGGCUAACUACGUGCCAGCCGCCGCCGUAA
Molecule: ribosomal RNA, 500 nt
Filed under: uncultured bacterium
Lineage: Bacteria
Description: partial 16S ribosomal RNA
Rfam family: Bacterial small subunit ribosomal RNA
Source: RNAcentral